CCUACGGGGGGCUGCAGUGGGGAAUAUUGCACAAUGGGGGAAACCCUGAUGCAGCGACGCCGCGUGAGUGAGGAAGUAUUUCGGUAUGUAAAGCUCUAUCAGCAGGGAAGAAGAUGACGGUACCUGACUAAGAAGCCCCGGCUAACUACGUGCCAGCAGCCGCGGUAAUACGUCGGGGGCAAGCGUUAUCCGGAUUUACUGGGUGUAAAGGGAGCGUAGACGGUUAAUCAAGUCUGAAGUGAAAACCCAGGGCUCAACCCUGGGACUGCUUUUGAAACUGAGUAGCUGGAGUGCAGGAGAGGUAAGCGGAAUUCCUAGUGUAGCGGUGAAAUGCGUAGAUAUUAGGAGGAACACCAGUGGCGAAGGCGGCUUACUGGACAGUAACUGACGUUGAGGCUCGAAAGCGUGGGGAGCAAACAGGAUUAGAUACCCGAGUAGUC
RNAcentral lists this ribosomal RNA (440 nucleotides) under uncultured bacterium. Its description in RNAcentral is "partial 16S ribosomal RNA". It matches the Rfam family "Bacterial small subunit ribosomal RNA", at positions 338 to 795 of the family's 1533-position model. The record is from RNAcentral.